GCAAAACAGCAAAGCAGCAACAAGCACAGACCACAAACUGCACGUUCCAGCAGUGAAAGCAUCUGUUCUGCUGUGAAACAUUCCGCAGGAGCUGGAGCUGCAGGCAAGCAAGACGACGCAGAACAGAUAUAAAGGAAGACAAACUGACUGACGGUCUCAAACAAACAGCAACACGAGGUUAGAACACAUCUACAAAACCAGCAAGAAAAUGAACUGCAAACUCCAGGCAAUAACUCUCUUGGCUCUAGCAUUUGUCUGUGCAGAGAGCACUGUCAAUCCACCUAGAUGUCUUUGCUUGAAUGUUGUUAAAAAGGUGCCAAACAGACUGAUAGAGGACUACUUAAUCAUUCCGAAAGAAACACAUUGCUCAAAGACUCAAAUCAUACUUGCGGUAAAUGUGAACAACUCACAAAUGGAAACGUGCCUUGACCCUGCAACAAAUCAAGGCAGAGCACUUGUCCAAUGCUGGGAAAGAAUUGGCCAAGAUAUCACAAGGAAGAGGGAAUGUAUUCCACUAAGGAAGAGAGGCACCAACAACUAAGAAAGAAUCAGACCCAUAAAGGAGAAGUGGAAGGAAUGUGAUGCCCUUGGAGAAGAUUUAAACAAACAAAGGAAAUCCUCACCUUUUGACUUCUGAUGUCUCUUGUGAUGUGCAUCACAGGGGCAUCUAAUUUUUAAAAAAUUGCUCAAACUUAUCAUUUCAAAACCAAGAACCAAAAAUUGUUCUCUUGUGUCUUGAUUCAACCCAUUGACGGUAUUAGCUGUAUUUAAUUUCAGUAUAUUUAGGUGAAACAAAAGCUAAUCUAAUGAAGCAAAUAGGUUAUUUAUAUAUUGACAUUUAAUUCCGUAAGUUACAUUGAUAUUUCUUGUCAUUCGCACUUUCAUGUCAAAUUUGUCCAAAGCACUGUAUAAAAUCUGUUGCUAUAGCACAUGGUGUCACAAUGCAGAUCACGGCUUGUCACACAAAAAAAGAUCACCAGACAAAUGGAGACCUUUGUGCUGUGCAAGUUGCUGAACCGAUUAAUCGUAGAUCGAAGUAACCGGGUCAGUUAAUGUAACUAAACUAUAAUGCAUUCCAUAAGUAAUGCACAUUAAAAAUGUCAGUUUGAAUCUUUA
Hemiscyllium ocellatum (epaulette shark) is the source of this 1116-nucleotide long non-coding RNA. RefSeq lists it as uncharacterized. The transcript has 5 exons. NCBI's taxonomy places the organism in Eukaryota, Metazoa, Chordata, Chondrichthyes, Orectolobiformes, Hemiscylliidae. The record is from RefSeq and is a predicted model, not a curated record.